AGAGUUUGAUUAUGGCUCAGGAUGAACGCUGGCGGCGUGCCUAACACAUGCAAGUCGAGCGAUUCUCUUCGGAGAAGAGCGGCGGACGGGUGAGUAACGCGUGGGUAACCUGCCUCAUACACAUGGAUAACAUACCGAAAGGUAUGCUAAUACAGGAUAAUAUAAGAGAUUCACAUGGAUUUCUUAUCAAAGCUCCGGCGGUAUGAGAUGGACCCGCGUCUGAUCAGCUAGUUGGUAAGGUAACGGCUUACCAAGGCGACGAUCAGUAGCCGACCUGAGAGGGUGAUCGGCCACAUUGGAACUGAGACACGGUCCAAACUCCUACGGGAGGCAGCAGUGGGGAAUAUUGCACAAUGGGCGAAAGCCUGAUGCAGCAACGCCGCGUGAGUGAUGAGGGCCUUCGGGUCGUAAAACUCUGUCCUCAAGGAAGAUAAUGACGGUACUUGAGGAGGAAGCCCCGGCUAACUACGUGCCAGCCGCCGC
This 483-nucleotide ribosomal RNA is filed under the name uncultured bacterium. RNAcentral describes it as "bacterial SSU rRNA". It matches the Rfam family "Bacterial small subunit ribosomal RNA", at positions 8 to 518 of the family's 1533-position model. The record is from RNAcentral.